GAUGAAGAACGUAGCGAAAUGCGAUAAGUAAUGUGAAUUGCAGAAUUCAGUGAAUCAUCGAAUCUUUGAACGCACCUUGCGCUCCUUGGUAUUCCGAGGAGCAUGCCUGUUUGAGUGUCAUUAAUAUAUCAACCUCUUCAGCUUAUGCUUGUUGAGUGUUGGAUGGUGGGGGUUUGCUGGUGUCUUAUGAAGUCAGCUCCUCUGAAAUGCAUUAGCGGAACAAUUUGUUGACCGUUCAUUGGUGUGAUAAAAAUAUCUACGCUAUUGACGUCAGUCAGUUCAGCUUCUAACAUUCCAUUGACUUGGACAAAUUUUUCAUUAAUGUGACCUCAAAUCAGGUAGGACUACCCGCUGAACUUAAGCAUAUCAAUAAGCGGAGGA
RNAcentral lists this unclassified non-coding RNA (381 nucleotides) under soil metagenome. Its description in RNAcentral is "partial contains 5.8S ribosomal RNA, internal transcribed spacer 2, and large subunit ribosomal RNA". The stretch from base 1 to 120 matches the Rfam family "5.8S ribosomal RNA", at positions 35 to 154 of the family's 154-position model. The record is from RNAcentral.